GAUGAAGAACGUAGUGAAAUGCGAUAAGUAAUGUGAAUUGCAGAAUUCAGUGAAUCAUCGAGUCUUUGAACGCACAUUGCGCCCCCUGGUAUUCCGGGGGGCAUGCCUGUCCGAGCGUCAUUGCUGCCCUCAAGCACGGCUUGUGUGUUGGGCCCCGUCCUCCGUUCCCGGGGGACGGGCCCGAAAGGCAGCGGCGGCACCGCGUCCGGUCCUCGAGCGUAUGGGGCUUUGUCACCCGCUCUGUAGGCCCGGCCGGCGCUUGCCGAUCAACCCAAAUUUUUAUCCAGGUUGACCUCGGAUCAGGUAGGGAUACCCGCUGAACUUAAGCAUAUCAAUAAGCGGAGGA
Molecule: unclassified non-coding RNA, 346 nt
Filed under: soil metagenome
Description: partial contains 5.8S ribosomal RNA, internal transcribed spacer 2, and large subunit ribosomal RNA
Rfam family: 5.8S ribosomal RNA (bases 1-120)
Source: RNAcentral